Ictidomys tridecemlineatus (thirteen-lined ground squirrel) is the source of this 1222-nucleotide RNA transcript. It is a transcript of the gene named NFU1 iron-sulfur cluster scaffold, with no coding region annotated. The record is from RefSeq and is a predicted model, not a curated record. NCBI's taxonomy places the organism in Eukaryota, Metazoa, Chordata, Mammalia, Rodentia, Sciuridae.
CUGGUUCGGGCUUAUGCUGUAGGUAGGCAACAGGUGUAAAGGACCAAGUGAAAGCCCGCAGCUCUCACUCGCACAAGCGCCGCCCACGGCCUGUAGGGUGCGCUCUUCUAGGUGCCAGCCCAACUCCCGUCGGUUUGCGCCUGCGCGGAGCUUUGGGGGCGCGGCGAGGGAGCAAGGCCUCUGCGAUUGCGCAUUGAAGGACUAAGAUGAUGGCGACGGCUGUGCGGCGGGGCUGGAGUUUUGCGGCUGCUGCCGCCGGGCGGCGCAGGCGAUUCUGUCACAUGAUGAAUGCAUAUAUCAUCAAGAAACGACCUCUGCAUCAAUUUGUACGAAGACCACUCUUCCCAUUACCUGCAGCCUUAUGUAACACAGUAAGAUACAUGUUUAUUCAAACCCAAGAUACCCCAAACCCCAACAGCUUAAAGUUUAUACCAGGAAAACCAGUUCUUGAGACAAGGACCAUGGAUUUUCCCACAGCAGCUACAGCAUUUCGUUCUCCUCUGGCUAGGCAAUUAUUUAGAAUUGAAGGAGUAAAAAGUGUCUUCUUUGGACCAGAUUUCAUUACUGUCACAAAGGAAAAUGAAGAAUUAGACUGGAAUUUAUUAAAACCAGAUAUUUAUGCAACAAUUAUGGACUUCUUUGCAUCUGGCUUACCCCUAGUUACUGAGGAAACAUCUUCAGGAGAAGCAGGUUCUGAAGAAGAUGAUGAAGUUGUGGCAAUGAUUAAGGAAUUGUUAGACACUAGAAUACGGCCAACUGUGCAGGAAGAUGGAGGAGAUGUGAUCUAUAAAGGCUUUGAAGAUGGCAUUGUACAGCUGAAACUCCAAGGUUCUUGUACUAGCUGUCCCAGUUCAAUCAUUACUCUGAAAAAUGGGAUUCAGAACAUGCUGCAGUUUUAUAUUCCGGAAGUAGAAGGUGUAGAACAGUUUCCUUCCAUUGGGAUCUGAUGGGAUGCCUGGGAUUAUAUCAACCUUUUUGUAUUUGCUAAGACUUAUACUGUGACCUAGAAUAUGGUCUGUUUUGGAAAAGAUUCCAUGAGCUGCUGAAAAUAAGGUAAUGGAUGAUGAAUCAGAUGAAAAAGAAGCAAACUCACCAUAAAAUAAUAUGGCAUUUCUUUGAGUACAACAAUUGGACUUAUUGAUAAUAUAUACCAAGCUGUUGUUAUUAAUAUGCUAAGGAACUUGAGGAGUAAUAAAAAAUGCCCAUUCCUCAGAGAAUGAUA